Molecule: ribosomal RNA, 494 nt
Filed under: uncultured bacterium
Lineage: Bacteria
Description: partial 16S ribosomal RNA
Rfam family: Bacterial small subunit ribosomal RNA
Source: RNAcentral
GACGAACGCUGGCGGCGCGCUUAACACAUGCAAGUCGAACGGAAAGGCCUGCUUUCCCUUGUGGAUUGCGGGUACUCGAGUGGCGAACGGGUGAGUAACACGUGAGUGAUCUGCCCCCAACUUGGGUAUAAGCCUGGGAAACUGGGUCUAAUUCCCGAUAGGACUGCAGGGUGGUGCCUGUGGUGGAAAACGAUUUUCUAGUGGUUGGGGAUGAGCUCGCGGCCUAUCAGCUUGUUGGUGGGGUAAUGGCCUACCAAGGCGGCGACGGGUAGCCGGCCUGAGAGGGUGGACGGCCACAUUGGGACUGAGAUACGGCCCAGACUCCUACGGGAGGCAGCAGUGGGGAAUAUUGCACAAUGGGCGGAAGCCUGACGCAGCGACGCCGCGUGGGGGAUGACGGCCUUCGGGUUGUAAACUCCUUUCGACCGCGAGGAAGCCACCUGGUUGGAAGGGUGGUGACGGUAGUGGUAGAAGAAGCACCGGCUAACUACGUG